GGAACUCCUGUUGCUAAGAUGAUGAGAUACACAAUGGUGGUGGACACUCCUGUUGUGACAGCUGAGAUAUUUAAAGCAGUGAUGUUGAGGGAAUUGCUGUGAUGACAGACUGCCUCAGCAUAAUGCUCUUCACUAGAAAAACAUGCAAUGAAUAAUAAAGGCAGAUGAUAGAGUCUUCAGAAUAUCUUUCAAUGUGAAGGCAAUAGUCGUAAAGCUUAAUAAUAAAUCAUAGGAUGGAACAGGGAAAGGAAAUUAUGAGAAAAAGGCUUUCUGAGGACCUGAACUACUGGUAAAUGUGGAAUUUUAGUUUCGUACAUAUUAUUGGGUGAAGAAUCUGCAGUGAGGAGCAUCAGAGAGAAAGGGAGAAAAGCCUGGAAUAUAGAAGGGAGCUCAAGCAGUUACAAACAGGUACUUUUUAUUGAAAAUAAAGUAGUUAAGGUAAAAAUUGUUGCUCUGAAAGUGGUCGUUCUCCCUCCUUAACCCAUUCUGAAAAUGAGCUUUAAGCUC
RNAcentral lists this long non-coding RNA (507 nucleotides) under Anas platyrhynchos platyrhynchos (common mallard). Its description in RNAcentral is "lncRNA (ENSAPLG00000016972.1)". Lineage: Eukaryota; Metazoa; Chordata; Aves; Anseriformes; Anatidae. The record is from RNAcentral.